CGUUUGAUAGUCUUUGUGUAUAUAUAUAAAAAUAAAAACGGUUAAAGUAAAAAUUUAAAAAGAAAAAGAAAAAAAGAUUGCAACUAAAAAAACCCAAGCGAUACAGAGAAGCCUAGGACACGUAGAGAAAUAGAGAAAGAGGUGAUGAGGAAAAAACAUAAAAACCCAAAAUACGGUUUAGAGAGACAUACGUUGCAGAAAGGGAGAACUGAGAAAGAGAACGAUAGAGAGAGAUCCACUGUCAUUGAUGGUGGAGAGAGAAAAAUAUGGAAAGAUAGUCAGGCCUUUGCCAACAUCAGACCACCGUACCCUCCACCAGUAUGGUUUCUGUUUUUUUGUAUCGAAGUUUGCAGUAAAAAAAAAAACAAACGUUCUAUCAAGGGUCUCUCUUCUUCUUAAAAACCCUUCGUUCCCAGGAAAAAGAAAGAAUGCUAAGGAAGGAAGAUGAGUCCCUCUGCCUAUUAACAAUGCCUCCGAUGGGCUUCCUAUCCAUUCUCUGACUUUUUUUUCUUUUUAAUUUGUGAGAUGAAGUGGAAUCUUUGUUCAAUCUAGAGUAUCUAAAUUCAUCAAAGCAAAGCAGAAGCCUUUUCCUACAAUUAAGGCCGUUGCAACAUGUAGGAAGCAUUUGGCAAGGGAAAGUGCUCACUUGGUUUUAAACAAAGCUCUCUCUCAAUGCAAGGAGUGUAGAUACUGAAAAAUUCAGAUGCUAUGGAAAAGAAAUUGUAGUAAAUUAUAGACAACGGAAAUAGUAUUUGGAGAAGAUAAAGUAUUCGAAGAGGAAAUAGAAUAGAGAACCCUUCCACCACUGACCUACCAGGACUGCAAACAGUCUUAAUUGCUAUUAAGAGCCGGAGAGUAGUUGAGAAACUGCUAUAGACAAAUAAGAAAAUGGCUAUUAAUGACGUUGAUAAGAGGGCAAAAAUUGUCAAUAUCCUUAUGCACCAAGAAAUUUAUGGAAAAGGAUUGACUUUAAAAGCAUCAAGCAGAUGUACAUGGCUUAAGAAAGGAAUCAGGUCAUGCACUAGUAAUAAUAAUAUGGAAGCCGAGAGGAAGUGCCUAAAUUGUCCUACCUUUUCUCAGGAUAUGUCAAAGUCCUCCUAUCUUAGACUCGGAGCCAAUGGUGUUUACAAAUCGAAUACUUUAGUGGGGUUUUUCAAACUUGGGCUUCUUUCCAGUUAAGUGAUGGUAUUAUGAUUUCUUUUAAUUACAUUUUUGUUUAUGGUAUUUUAAUUUCUAAUGUUGUUUCAACUUUGCAAUUUUUAUUUCAUGUUAAGUUAUGCUUGAUAUGACUUUUGAGUUUAGUUCUAAUAUCACAUUAGCUACUGAGCAUGUGAAUCUGUUUCCAACUACUAAAGCUUAGAAUGAUUUGUUUUUGAUGUUGUCUUCCAGAUCUUGCACAUUUGUUUGCUGCCUCCUAAAGAUUGCAAUCUUUGUAGUUCUGUACCUCUAUAAUCAUAAUGCACACGAGCGUGUGAAUCAGUUUCCAACUAUUAAAGAUUGCAAAGCCAAUACCUCUUUUCUUUGAGAAAUUGAACAUUUUGGUACUACACACAAACAGACAUACAUUGAUCCAUAUCUAGGUUUAGAAAUAUAUAUUAUGUUACUUUCUUUUUUGUGUGCUUGGAGUUACACAGGAUGUAGGAGUUCUUUCUCAAAAAAAAAAAAAAAGGAUGUAGGAGUUAAUUCUCUCGCUGUUGUUUUUGUGAGUAGGUAUUAACUUGAUGUAGGUGGUCAUUUACUACACUAUUAUUGAUCUUCUUUAUUCUGUUUUUUACAAAUUAUUUUAAUUAAAUAAAACUAAAAAAAUACUGUAAGGGUAAAAUUUCCAAAGCCAACAAUGGGCCUUGGGCCCCACACGGAGCCCAACCAUGACCCAAAGGUAAAGCUCAUGGCCCAAUCCUAUGGAGCCCAGUUUGUUUUAAAAGACGUCCGAGGAGGAAUGUCUCCUUGGACACACCAAUAUGGGCCCAAUGUGCGCCCCCUCCACAGUGAAGAACCAUCCCAGACAAACGUGGGUAGUAGGAUGAGCCACACACAGAAGGAAAGAGGAAAAGGUAAGACAUCCAGAGAGAAGCCAUAACUACCGCAUUAAAUGCAAAGAAGCUACCUUUUCAGCCGCAUUUAUGUGGAGAAGACAGGCGAACAGUGUUGCAUUGGCCAGUGCAACUCACAGAAAGAUAAGGUGGAUAUCCGAUGAGACAGACACUCAAGUGAAGGUCCAAAUUGUUAACAAGUGUAAGGUUCUUAUCAAAUUAAGGAGGCUAUAUAAGAGAAGGAAAUUCCCAUGCAGAAAGGGGGGGGGGGGAGACUUUAGAGAAAAGGGAGAGAGAGAGGUAAAAGAAUUCUGUAGUUUGUAACCAGAGCAAGAGGUGCCAUUAUACGUCUCCUCGGACCAGUGUCCUGUAAACUUAAACAAAAUAUUAUCACAUUCAGACUGUUGCAUGGUCUACAUCUAACUGACGUUCACUUCGUCUAGCCCUAGUUCUGUAGCCCGCUCUCUACAAAUUCAUUGUCUGGGGACUAUUGGGCCAGAACCACUUACUUGCUGGGCUUGGGCCCCAAAAACAGCCCCUACAAUUGGCGCCGUCUGUGGGAAGAACUUGUGUCUCGACAAGUGAAGCAGUAAGAAAUGGAAGGAUCAGGUCCGCGCCAAGCUGGACGUGCAGAUUCCCAACGGCAGGACAAUUUUUUGAAUCUCGAACGAGAGAAGGACCAAGAUAAUAAACGAGAGGGCAAUGUGAACACCUCUCACACGAGUAGAAGUCGCUCAAAAGGGAAAGACCAUGCAUCCCAUAAGCAAAGUGAUCGAAAGGCUCUACAGCAAGAGAUUGAUGAUUUGAAGAAGAAGCUGCGCCGAGCGCAGCGAAAACGUCCUUCACCCGGCUCGGGUACUAGCAGUGAUGAGGAUAACGAAUACAGGCGAAGAUCAAGAACCCCUCCGAGCGAGACCUUUUCCUACGAGGAAGAGCAGCCUCGCAAACGCAGCCACAAAAGCUUAUCUUGCCAAGGCCUGGCCAACGAUGCCAUGAGCAAGGCCCUGGAUCGCAUUUCCCAGUCGCCGUUCACACGAAGAAUAGAGAGGGCAGUGCUUCCUCGGCGGUUCCAUCAACCAACGUUUGCCAUAUACAAUGGUCAGACUGACCCAGUAGAGCAUGUAAGCCAAUUUAAUCAGAGGAUGGCCGUCCAUUCCAGGGAUGAGGCGUUAAUGUGUAAGGUGUUUCCAUCCAGCUUGGGACCUAUGGCGAUGAGAUGGUUUGAUGCCCUCCAGCUGAAUUCCAUAGAUUCCUUUAAACAGCUGACACAGGCUUUUGGCUCUCGCUUCAUCACCAGCACUAGAGUCCCUCAGCCCCUCGAUUCCCUCCUAUCCUUGUCCAUGCGGGAAGGAGAGACGCUGAAGGCCUACUCGGACAGGUACUGGAAAAUGUAUAAUGAGAUAGAAGGAAAUUACGACGACGUCGCCAUUAGUAUGUUCAAAAGGGGCUUGCCGACAGAACAUGGCUUAAGAAAGUCCCUUACUGGGAAGCCAGUCACCAGCGUACGCCAACUCAUGGACAGAAUUGACAAGUAAAAAAGGGUCGAGGAGGACCAGCAGAUGGGGAAGGGUAAAGUGAAGGUUGUCCCUCAGGAGAGGAGGGACUUCAGGUUGGAUCGCUUUAACAGCAGUAACAGACUGAGAAGAGACUACGCGGAACAGUCCGGACCUACUGGGGCUCAAGCAGUCCAUGCUGUGUUCCGAGAACCAUUGAACAAGGUCCUAGAGAAGGUGAAGUGCGAACCCUUCUUUUAGUGGCCGAACAGGAUGGCAGGCGACCCCUCAAAAUGCAAUCAGAACCUGUACUGCGCGUACCACCAAGAGCCAGGUCACACCACCAAUGAUUGCAGGAAUCUGAAAAACCAUUUGGAUCGGCUUGUCCGAGAAGGGAAGUUGAGGCAUCUGUUGCACCGCCUUGAAGGAUGGCAGGAACAGUCAAAUAUCGAAACCAGACAAGGCACAUUGAGGCCACCCAUUGGCACAAUAAAUGUCAUUCUUGCCGCACCUGGAAGGACCGGUUCCAGCCCUUUCAGAGUAAUGUCAGUGGGCAGGUUCUCGACUGAGCCAGACGAAAGGGAAUCCAAGAGAGCCAGAGUGAGUGCCAUGCCAUUAAUUGGGUUCUCGGAGGAGGACAAGCAAGGAACCCUUCAACCCCACGACGAUGCCCUAAUCGUCACGCUCAGAAUUGGAGGAUAUGAUGUGAAAAUGGUGUUAAUUGAUCAAGGCAGUGCCGUGGAGGUAAUGUACCCUGAUUUGUACAAGGGGUUGAACUUGAAGCCAGAAGACCUGUCGCCAUACGAUUCCCCUCUGGUCAGCUUCGAAGGAAAUAUCGUCACCCCGAAAGGUAUGAUAAGGCUGCCUGUGCAAACAGACUUAGACGUGGUAGAGGUGAACUUCAUUGUCGUAGAUGCGUACUCUCCUUACACCGCUAUCGUGGCCCGGCCGUGGCUUCAUGCACUAGGGGCUGUGCCAUCAACGUUGCACCAAAAAGUGAAGUAUCCGUUAGGAGGUCAAAUCAAAGAAAUAAUAGGGAACCAAGGAAUGGCUAGGCAAUGCAUGGUGUCGGCAAUCUCACGACGACCAAAUAGUGAACCUUCCACUUCAGCCGAGAAUGGUUUAUAACAAUCAAUGACCCCGGUCCCAACUGCGGGUGGUGGAGGACCAGUCACGGAGAUGAGCUGUGAGGAGCUGGAAAAAGUACUCGUCGGAUCAGACCCUGAGAGGUUUUUUCAGAUCGGCUCGGAAUUACCACCACAAGAGAAGUCAACACUAAUUGAUUUUCUUCGACGGAACGCGGACGUAUUCGCCUGGGAUCCCUACGAGGCCCCUGGGUUGACUCAGAUCUAAUAUGCCAUCACCUUAAUGUUAAUCCGGCUAUAACUCUUAAGAAGCAGCCUCCUCGGCGGCCGUCAAAAGAACAUGCAGACGCUGUGAGAGAAGAGGUCGCAAAAUUGAAGAAAGCUGGGGUAAUCAAGGAAGUAUUCUACCCCGAAUGGUUAGCCAACAUAGUUGUGGUAAAAAAGAAGAGCGGGAAAUGGCGAGUCUGCGUAGACUUCACGGACUUAAACAAGGCCUGCCCGAAGGAUCCUUUCCCAAUGCCACGGAUAGACCGAUUGGUAGAUGCGACUGUCGGGCACUCUCGAAUGAGUUUCUUGGAUGCCUUCCAAGACUACCAUCAGAUAUCCCUGGCUCCCGAAGAUCAAGAAAAAACUGCUUUUGUCACCCUAGUUGGAAAUUAUCAUUACAAGGUGAUACCCUUCGGCUUGAAGAAUGCCGGGUCAACCUAUCAAAGGAUGAUGACUAGGAUGUUCGAACAGUAGAUGGGUAAGAAUGUUGAAGUGUAUAUAGAUGACAUGGUGGUAAAGAGCAAAUUAGUGGCCGACCACAUCAGAGACCUCGACGAAGUAUUUCAAAUUCUGAGAAAGUACAAGCUACGAUUGAACGCAUCCAAAUGUUCAUUUGGGGUGGGAUCAGAAAAAUUCUUUGGCUAUAUGGUGACACACAGAGGAAUAGAAAUUAACUCUGACCAAAUAAGAGCCAUCCAUAGCCUGCAGCCUCCUCGGAAUCCCAAAGAGGUCCAGAAGCUUACCGGUAUGAUAGCUGCCUUAAACCGUUUCAUCUCCCGCUCAGCGGACAGAUGCAGACUUUUCUUCCUCCUAUUGCACAAGUGGAAGGGCUUCGAGUGGACUGAGGAAUGUGCUUUAGCUUUCCAACAGCUCAAGGAGUACCUCGCCCGACCACCGAUUAUGUUCAGUCCCGAUGCCGACGAGGUGCUGUUCGCAUACAUUGCAGUAGCCUCUCAUGCGGUGAGCUUAGUGCUAAUCCGCGAAGACAACGGCACGCAGCGACCCUUGUAUUACGUGAGUAAAUCGCUGCAGGAGGCAGAGACCCGGUAUCUCCCCCUCGAAAAAGCUAUCCUAGCCGUCGUACAAGCCAUGCGGAAGCUCCCCCACUAUUUUCAGGCACAUACAGUAGUUGUGCUAACUCAACUUCUGUUGAAAUCCGUCCUCCGCAGCGCCGACUACACAGGUAGAAUUGCUAAGUGGGGAACGAUCCUGGGCACCUUCGACAUUAGAUACAUGCCUCGCACCGCCAUAAAAUGUCAGGUCCUCGUCGAUCUAGUAGCUGAAUUUGCGGAGCCCACCCUAGAAGGAAUGGAAGUGUCGGGAUCAAUUAACCUCGUAGCAAUUUUCACUUAGUGUUAAACAGAACCCAAGUCCUGCAUGGCUCCUCGGACAACAGACUUGGGGGAAAUUAACAUCUUAGCGAUUUUCACUAAAUAUUAAACAGAACCCAAGUCCUGCAUGGCUCCUCGCACCACAGACUUGGGGGAAAUUAACAUCCUAGCGAUUUUCACUAAGUGUUAAACAGAACUCAAGUCCAGCAUGGCUCCUAGGACCACAGACUUGGGGGAAAUUAACAUCCCAGCGAUUUUUACUGAGUGUUAAACAGAACCCAAGUCCUGUCAGGCUCCUCGGACCACAGACUUGGGGGAAAUUAACGUCUCAGCCAUUUUCACUAAGUGUUAAACAGAACCCAAGUCCUGCCUAACUCCUCGGACCACAGACUUGGGGGAAAUUAACCUCUCAGCAAUUUUAUCUAAUUAUCAACUGUCAUUUUUUACACAUUCAUUCACUCAUGCUUGGUUUUCAACAGUUAAUGGCAGAAUAGACAUCCAUUCAUGAUGAAAACAGAAGAGAAAGUAAAACAACAAGAAUAAAAGGAAACGACGCCUUUCAUUAAAAUCCCCAAAAGCGAUCCUUUUACAACCAUUAAACAGAACAAAAUAUAAAUGGUCUAACAAGUAAAAUCCUACACUACUUUCCUAAAUCUGAUUCCUGAGCAGGCCCGGGUUGGUCGUCUGCUGGCUGGGGCUCCGGAACAGUCUCUUUAGCCUGUGCAACAACCUCCCUGAUUAAAAGACUGUCCUCGGGCAACUUGUCCUUCACGGCCGGCUGCGCAUCCUCAGCUUCAGGCAUAGCGGAGUCCGAGGCUAAAGCCUUCGUGGGGAGAGGCUCUUCAGGCGCGACCACGUCAAGGAUCUCAUGAACGUCCUCAAGAAAAAAGAUAUUCUCAGCUUUCCUAAGAUCGGAAUCCGCUGGGACUGCCGCCCGGUCCAAGGCUACGCCCCAAGACAGGGUAAUGUAUUCCCUGCAUACAGCAGCCACCUCCUUGGCUAGCCUGACCUCAGUGUCCUUGACCCCGCGAUCAUAAGAGGCUGCCACUGCUUUCUCGGCCGCCUCCCUAGCCAGACGGGCCUCCCCCUUGACCUUUGCAAGCUCGGCCUUGAGAUCUGAAACCGCCUGCUUCUCUGUCGCGAGAUUUUCCUCGAACUGGCGGAGCUGUAGGCGCAGAUCCUCAGCCUGCUUAGUAGCGUUUUUAAGGCCGGCUUCCGCGCUUGCACGGCCCUUCUUUGCCUCUUUUACUUCAUUGCUCAGACCAUCAUUUUCCUUCUUGAGGUCGCCAGCAGUCCUCUCGGCAGCACAACGGGACUGAACCUCGUUGUGAAGGUCCUCACGUGCCUUUUUGGCCCAUUCCUCAGCAACGAAGAUUUGCUGAGUGACCUGCGCCAGAAAAGAAAAGGCUUAAUUAAAGAAAAUGAUGAAUAAAUAGAUACGUGACAAGAGAAUGAGAUAGGAGAAAUUCUCAUUUACCAUAGCCAUGUCCCUCUUCAGCGACAUGAAGAGGUCUGGUUGCCGAGUAUCCCGUAGCCCCUUCAUAUCGCGAGGCAAAAGAAGAGGCUGCUGUAGGGCCUCGGCCAAGAAUGAUGCCUGCCCUCGCUGGGAUUCCCAUAGGGUCGCAUCCCAAGAAAUUGGAGCGCCGUCCAGUUCGAGCCUUGGCGACCAAAUCCGCUGUUCCCUCCGAAUAGCCGCUUCAUCUCGGCUAUCAAUAGACCGGGUCCUCUUAUCUUUAGGCUCUUUGGUCUCUUUGCCUUUCUUUUGAGGCUUGGCUUUUUCCUGGCCAACCUCGCCCUCCUCCAAUUCCUCCACAGGCCUUUUUCGCCUCAAGUUGGGCAUGGGCUGCAGUGCCGCAUCCGAUGUGGGAGGAAGAGGAGGAGCCUUGGAGGUUGGCUGUUCCUUCGGAACAUCCUUGGAGGAUUGCCCUUUGUUCCUAUUAGAGAGGAGGCCCCUGAGACCAGACCUUUGUUUUAGGUCCAUUCCUUCUUCUUCAAGCUCUUGGCUGGUAUUAACUUGUGCGACUGCUAAACCAAGAUCAGGGGUUGCCGAGGCACGGUCUAAAUCUGAAUCAGAGUCCUAGAGCUCUACUGGCUUGGCCGACACCUCUCCCUCCUCGGCGAAAUGGAAGCUCGCUGAGCGGGCAACUGGACGGGAGGUAAAUCUCUCGAAGCGAGAAAACCUGGUACGGAGACGUCGAUUCGUGCUAAUCGCGGAUUGCCAGCCCUGAUUUCUUGGUCGGCCUCUACUAGAGCACGAGUAAGGGGCUUGUAGUCCAAAAUCAGAGGAGCGGCCCGCAAUUGCCCGUCUGCACUCACGUAAAUCUCAGACCUUAGAAGGAAAUUGAGUGCUUGGAUGUUGACCAAACUUAGCCGAGGAGUCAUAUGCGCCUUGUCUGCAAAGCCCAAAGAGAGGGUUAUGUUAGUCCGAGGAGGCAAACAAGCAAAGUCAAAAUUGAAACGAAGAAAAAGAAAGAUCAAAACUAAGAUCUCUUCCAAGGGAUCUAACUCUAUGGUGUCCCACCUGGUUUUCCUGCCCUGACUGGGUAGUGAAUACCGUCGUGCCAUUGUCCGGAGACGAUCAAAAGGUCGUCCUUCAAACCUUUGUUGGACUUGGGAAGGUAGGAUAUCAACCUCACCUCAUCGGACCUGGACUUCAAGUAAUAUGAGUCGCCGAGACUGUGCAGUUCAUAUAGAUGAACCACGUCAUGCCAUGUAAGGCCGAGGUUCAUCUGAUUGUUUAGGACCUCUAUGCACCCCAGAAUCCGGAACAUAUUUGCGACGCAUUGAUGAGGGGCCAACCUAUGACCACGCAAAUAAUCCCUAGUUAUCCUCCUCAUAGGGAUGGUCAUUCCUCCUUCCACGAAGGCUAUCACUGGAAUGACAACUUGCCCCGUUCUCCUCUUGAUUAAAACCUCCUCUAGAGAACAGUACUCUAGACCUACAUCCGGCGGAAUACGGUAUUUGGCCCUGAAGCCUUCCAUACCGGCCGGGGAAUUUACCAAUUUGUCAAGCUUACCCAUCCCCCUAAUCCUAGAUGAUGCGAAGACGAUUUACUUAAGGAAUAAUGCCGAAAAAGGCAAUGGAAAAGGAAUGUACACUUACGGGUGAGGAACUUGCAGGAAAUCUUCAAGGGGACAACUGCAAAGGCUUGAACGCUUUAAAGGGUAAAGUGCGAGAGUGCUUUGAGUGCUUGAGUGCUUGUCCAAAAAUGAGAAGGAAAUGCCUUUGAAAAUCUUAUGUAUUCGGGAGAAGCUGGACAGACAUACUCCCGCCUAGAGAAACGGAACUGAUCCCAAUCGUCGAUCUAACAUCCAACCGUCGGAUUAAAAAGAUAUUAAACCGCUAUAAGCAAUAAUUAGCGCCUCAUGUGUCAUUAAACACCUCCAUCAUUAAUGAGUCACGUGAGAAGCGUAUCGCCGCACGGGUGAAGCAGGAAUCCACAAUAAAUAGUCCUAUAAAUGUCAAAAUCCCGCCUUUCCUCCUCGGACGAGAAAGAAGGAGCCGGAAUUUUGAGGGGCUAUUGUAGGGGUAAAAUUCCCAAAGCCAAUAAUGGGCCUUGGGCCCCACACGGAGCCCAACCACGACCCAAAGGUAAAGCUCAUGGCCCAAUCCUGUGGAGCCCAGUUUGUUUUAAAAGACGUCCGAGGAGAAAUGUCUCCUCGGACACACCAAUAUGGGCCCAAUGUGCGCCCCCUCCACAGUGAAGAACCAUCCCAGACAAACGUGGGUAGUAGGAUGAGCCACACACAGAAGGAAAGAGGAAAAGGUAAGACGUCCAGAGAGAAGUCACAACUGCCGCAUUAAAUGCAAAGAAGCUACCUUUUUAGCUGCAUUAAUGUGGAGAAGACAGGCGAACAGUGUUGCAUUGGCCAGUGCAACUCACAGAAAGAUAAGGUGGAUAUCCGAUGGGACAGGCACUCAAGUGAAGGUCCAGAUGGUUAACAAGUGUAAGGUCCUUAUCAAAUUAAGGAGGCUAUAUAAGAGAAGGAGAUCCCCAUGCAGAAAGGGGGGGGGGAGAAUUUAGAGAAAAGGGAGAGAGAGAGGUAAAAGAAUUCUGUAGUCUGUAACCAGAGCAAGAGGUGCCAUUAUAUGUCUCCUCGGACCAGUGUCCUGUAAACUUAAACAAAAUAUUAUCACGUUCAGACUGUUGCAUGGCCUACAUCUAACUGACGUUCACUUCGUCCAGCCCUAGUUCUGUAGCCCGCUCUCUACAAAUUCAUUGUCUGGGGACUUUUGGGCCAUAACCACUUACUUGCUGGGCCUGGGCCCCAAAAACCGCCCCUACAAAUACUUAUUUUGCAGGUUCUACUUUCAUUUUUGGAUAAAGAGCUGCAUACUUAACUGCAUCAACUCAAGUUUUGCAAGGCAGGAAGCUUAUGAUGGGGGAGCUUUAGUUGUAGAGCAGAGAAAAGAAUGAAGCAAUCCAAGAGAGACUCGUUGUGAUACAGUGUAGAGACAACAACAAUAUGCUUGCACUUGUUUUCUCAUCUUUAAUAUGACUUUGUUGUUGAUUUACAAAACUCUUUGAAUAUUAUGAUCAUUUGUUAUUAGUACAUGUCAUAUAUUUUACUUUUUGUUAGUGUUUUUUUCAAAUGUGAUAUGUAAUCUUUUGAUUUGAAAUUUUACCAUUUUUGUUGUGAAGGCAAUAACCAGUGAUAGAACAUCAUAUUAUUUUUCAUGUACUCAAAUUGUAAAUCACAACAACAAAAAGUAUGUAAGCUUCUGCUUAGA
This is an RNA transcript of Quercus robur (English oak), 10940 nucleotides long. RefSeq lists it as uncharacterized. NCBI's taxonomy places the organism in Eukaryota, Viridiplantae, Streptophyta, Magnoliopsida, Fagales, Fagaceae. The transcript is spliced from 9 exons. The record is from RefSeq and is a predicted model, not a curated record.